This 960-nucleotide ribosomal RNA is filed under the name Triticum aestivum (bread wheat). RNAcentral's name for it is "partial small subunit ribosomal RNA". The record is from RNAcentral. Lineage: Eukaryota; Viridiplantae; Streptophyta; Magnoliopsida; Poales; Poaceae.
AUGGGCAUCAUCGGCAUCCGCACGGCCACCCUGCUCCUCGCUGCCCUCGCGUGGCGUAGUGUGCUCGUUGCCGCCGCCGGCGAGGCGGACGGCGUGUUCAACGUCAAGGACUACGGUGCUCGAGGCGACGGCACCACGGACGACACCAAGGCGUUCAUAGACGCAUGGAGCGCGGCGUGCGGCGCCAGAGGCUCGUCGGCGUCGCUGCUCGUACCGGCGGGCAAGUCCUUCCUCGUCGGCCCCGCCAGAUUCAGCGGGCCCUGCGCCUCCACCAGAAUUACCGUCCAGGUCAUGGGCACGAUUACGGCGCCACCGCCGGGCGCAUGGAGCGGGCAGAAAUAUUGGAUGAUGUUCUACCAGGUCCAGGGGCUCACGGUUACCGGCGGCAGCACCGGCUUGCUCGACGGCAGAGGCCGGUCGUGGUGGUGGAGCGAUCAAUGCAACCGCUACGGUGACAUAUAUAAGGCGCCGACGGCCUUGGUGGUCAUGAACUGCACCGACGUGGAGCUGAGCAAAUUCAGCAGCAAGAACAGCUCGCAGAUGCAUAUUGCCGUCAGCCAGAGCAGCAAGGUCCACCUGACGCAGCUGACCACCACCGCGCCCUGGGACAGCCCCAACACCGACGGCGUGCACAUCGACCAGAGCGAAGACGUCCGCGUCACCAGAUCGACCAUGGGCACCAGCGGCGAAUGCGUCUCCAUCGGCCCCGGGAGCCGAUUCGUCACCGUGGACGGAAUCGUCUGCGGCCCCGGCCGUGCUGUAAGUGUGGGGAGCCUUGGCAAGAAGGGAGCAACCGAAUCCGUGGAGUACAUCGACGUAAAAAACGUCCACUUCAUCAAUACCUUGAGUGGAGCAAGGAUCAAGACGUGGCAGGGUGGGAAAGGUUACGCGAGAUCCAUCUCCUUCACCAACAUAAACUUCACCAACGUGGACAAUCCUGUGGUCAUCAACCAGUUCUAA